Molecule: ribosomal RNA, 188 nt
Filed under: uncultured bacterium
Lineage: Bacteria
Description: partial 16S ribosomal RNA
Rfam family: Bacterial small subunit ribosomal RNA
Source: RNAcentral
ACGCUCGACACCUACGGGAGCAGCAGUGGGGAAUAUUGCGCAAUGGGGGCAACCCUGACGCAGCAACGCCGCGUGAUUGAAGAAGGCCUGGUGUAAGANUUAUNGGNGAAANANAGACUGAAGAAUAAGACUCCGGCGUAACUACGUGCCAGUAGCCGCGGUAAGUCUGAGGCGGGCGUGGCGAAGGC